GUUAAAGCAAAGCUUACAUACAUAGUCUAUGCACAUACAGGAUUUAUGUACUAUUUCCCCUCAGUUUCACAUUAAGUUGUUGCUGUUUUGAUUGGAAAGAAAACUUUUGAGUUUCAUGAAACAUAAAUAUAAAUCCAAGGUAUCAUUCAGAGAUAGAAUAUUUUAUAGUGCUUGUGGUGAUUGAAAAUAAUAUAUAAACUUUUUAAUUGUGGUUUUAAGUUUUGAAACAGAGAUGAUUGGUGUUAAGGCAUAAGAUGGUUGUCAGCCUGUGGCAGGAAGGAAGAUGGUGAAUAUUGCUGGCAUUCUGCAGGUCAACAAAUUUCAUGCAACACUACAUAAGAUUUAAGGAAGCAAAUAUGCCAAAAUACUGCAUCUGUUGGCAUCCAAGAAAGGACAGGAGGAAAAUAGAAAUGGCUUGUGACCUUUAGCCAGUAAGUGUUGCAGCCAAGAAGGGAACAGGCUCAAGAAACAGUAACACUCAAUGGGUUAAAUCUAAAUUUCUAUGAAAUACCAAACUAACACUUGUAGUUCUUCAUCAAAAUGGCAUUCGUUAUUUGUUCUUUUGGCAUUUAUUGAGUGCCAGAUAUGUGCCAAUCAUAAGUAGUUCACCAUCUUGUAGAGCAUGUGCUUUGCAGAAAUUUUCUGAGAGGUGGCAGAUUUACCUAACUCAGCUAUGCCAUCUUGUUGGCCUAUAUUGUUACUAAAGACAUAUACUAUGAAAUAGCUAAUCAGAGUAGAGGCAUUGGAAUAUAGUAAAACUUGUCAGCAAAAUUUUUAUAGAACAUGAUUUUAGGUUCACCAACACUGCUUUAAUGUUGUGACCUCCCACUUUCUCAGCCACCUUAUCAUGUUCUCUGUAUAGUAUUAAAGCUUUUACUGGAUCCUUUCUCUUGGCUAGUAAAAUGUUUUUGUUUUGUUUUGCUUUUCUUUCCUUGAUGACUUUAGUUCCUCACCUACGAUUUGUAUUUUAAAAACUUUCCUGUCCCAACAACUUUAAUGAAAUUAUCCUAAUUAAAGUCAAUGAAAA
Molecule: long non-coding RNA, 1027 nt
Filed under: Vulpes vulpes (red fox)
Lineage: Eukaryota; Metazoa; Chordata; Mammalia; Carnivora; Canidae
Description: lncRNA (ENSVVUG00000012350.1)
Source: RNAcentral